AGCAUGGCGAUUCGACCUUUGCUUCUGUUUUUGGUUUUGUUAAUUUUGUUCUCACUCCCUUGUUUUAAUUUGGAGUGCAUUUUGGUGCUUUUUUGUGUUUGGCUUUGCUUUGGUUUGUUUUAAGCGCGAAGCUUGGUGACAGUUUCGCAGGGAGGCAAUUUCUUGUCCGACG
RNAcentral lists this non-coding RNA (172 nucleotides) under Chromera velia. Lineage: Eukaryota; Chromeraceae. The record is from RNAcentral.